RNAcentral lists this transfer RNA (88 nucleotides) under Streptococcaceae bacterium. RNAcentral describes it as "tRNA-Ser". It matches the Rfam family "tRNA". From Rfam's summary of the family: Transfer RNA (tRNA) molecules are approximately 80 nucleotides in length. Their secondary structure includes four short double-helical elements and three loops (D, anti-codon, and T loops). RNAcentral also lists the same sequence under 1 other name. The record is from RNAcentral. Lineage: Bacteria; Bacillati; Bacillota; Bacilli; Lactobacillales; Streptococcaceae.
GGAGAAGUACUCAAGAGGCCGAAGAGGACGGUUUGCUAAAUCGUUAGGUCGCGAAAGCGGCGCGUGGGUUCGAAUCCCAUCUUCUCCU